UUCAAGGGGUGCCCAUGGUUGUGGGCUGAGAUGAUACCCUCUAACCUGAUCCGGGUUAUGCCGGCGUAGGGAUGGAAAUA
RNAcentral lists this non-coding RNA (80 nucleotides) under uncultured Prevotella sp. RNAcentral's name for it is "TPP riboswitch (THI element)". It matches the Rfam family "TPP riboswitch aptamer (THI element)", at positions 7 to 92 of the family's 105-position model. From Rfam's summary of the family: Vitamin B(1) in its active form thiamin pyrophosphate (TPP) is an essential coenzyme that is synthesised by coupling of pyrimidine and thiazole moieties in bacteria. The previously detected thiamin-regulatory element, thi box was extended, resulting in a new, highly conserved RNA secondary structure, the THI element, which is widely distributed in eubacteria and also occurs in some archaea. Analysis of operon structures identified a large number of new candidate thiamin-regulated genes, mostly transporters, in various prokaryotic organisms. The record is from RNAcentral. Lineage: Bacteria; Pseudomonadati; Bacteroidota; Bacteroidia; Bacteroidales; Prevotellaceae.